CGUUAUACUGUUCCUGGGUGGCCCCCACUUGUCGCCUCUGAGCAAGCGGCGCCAGGAAUGCCCGCCUUCCAUUCUUCGUCUUGGCGCAGAAGAUUGGAGCUCUCUCUCUCUCUCUCUCUACCCUGGUUUUCAUCUCAUGAGAGAAGAUGUAUUCCUGUUCGGCUCCUGUGCCCCGCCAGGCCUUCAAGCCCAGACCCGCCCAUCCCCUGCUCCGCUCUUCCGCGAGAGCGGCCCAGACCCACCAUCCCCGACGGCGCCGCCGGGGAUUAGCUUCCGGCGGCGGCGCCGCCAGUGAGGGUUCUCAUGCCACCCAAUGGCAGCGGGAGCUCCGACAAUCCGUCGACGACGAGCGGCACUCUCUCCUCCUCAACAGCAGCAGCAGAGGAGAAGCCCUCAAGUCCAGAGUCAUCUCCCUCCCCAUUC
This 423-nucleotide long non-coding RNA is filed under the name Spirodela polyrhiza (greater duckweed). RNAcentral's name for it is "long non-coding RNA (SPOL_LNC002431)". The record is from RNAcentral. Lineage: Eukaryota; Viridiplantae; Streptophyta; Magnoliopsida; Alismatales; Araceae.